RNAcentral lists this ribosomal RNA (730 nucleotides) under Oreaster reticulatus. RNAcentral describes it as "partial 16S ribosomal RNA". It matches the Rfam family "Bacterial large subunit ribosomal RNA", at positions 1808 to 2768 of the family's 2925-position model. The record is from RNAcentral. Lineage: Eukaryota; Metazoa; Echinodermata; Asteroidea; Valvatida; Oreasteridae.
CAAAAACAUCGCCCUCUGUAAAGUUUUAUYUUAUAUAUGGGGGGUCCUGCCUGCCCGGUGACUUAGUUAAACGGCCGCGGUAUUUUGACCGUGCAAAGGUAGCAUAAUCAUUUGCCUUUUAAAUGGGGGCUGGUAUGAAUGGCAAGACGGAAAUUAGACUGUCUCUUUCUUUUUUUUUGAAUUUGAUCUUUCUGUGAAGAAGCAGGAAUGUAGUCGUGGGACGAGAAGACCCUGUCGAGCUUUAAUGGGCCUGGGUAGGCGAUUGAAGUUGCUUACUUGCUAAUUUAUUCGUUGAUAAGGAUGAGUGGCAUUACUUGUGUUUGUGGCGACGUUUUAUGUAGGCCGUUUUGGUUGGGGCAACCGCGGAGAAUAUGUAUCCUCCGCUGGGUUCGAUAAGUAAAAUGAUGGUUUUCUUACUUGUUAUGUUUGUGUGAUCCGCUGUUUGGGCGAGCAAAAGAACAAGUUACCGCAGGGAUAACAGCGUAAUUCUUUUAGAGAGUUCAUAUUGAUAAGGGAGUUUGCGACCUCGAUGUUGGAUCGGGAUUUCCUGGGGGUGCAGCAGCUCCCGAGGGUUGGUCUGUUCGACCAUUAAAAUCCUACGUGAUCUGAGUUCAGACCGGCGGGAGCCAGGUCAGUUUCUAUCCUCGAUUAUUAGAAAAAGCUGUCUUUAGUACGAAAGGAUUAGGAGGGCGGCGCCCAUGCUUGAAAGUAGGCGUUAAAAAUGGAUAUG